GGGGUUGUGGCUCAGCGGUAGAGCGCUCGCCUGGCAUGUGUGAGGCCUUGGGUUGGAUCCUCAACACCACA
Molecule: transfer RNA, 71 nt
Filed under: Marmota monax (woodchuck)
Lineage: Eukaryota; Metazoa; Chordata; Mammalia; Rodentia; Sciuridae
Description: tRNA.Ala
Rfam family: tRNA
About the family: Transfer RNA (tRNA) molecules are approximately 80 nucleotides in length. Their secondary structure includes four short double-helical elements and three loops (D, anti-codon, and T loops).
Source: RNAcentral